CCCUUGAUAGCCUCUUCACGGCUAUUUCUUGCCCAUUAUACAGUUUACCCUUGUACACUGUACCAAAUCCACCUUCACCUAUCUUGUUGUCAGCAGAGAAGUUGUUUGUGGCAGACUGGAUUAUGGCCAAAUCAAAUUGCAAGGAGUUAACAUCUGUAAUUUCAUCCCCAACAUUUUGUUCUCUUAAGGCAUUGUAUUUCUUCAUUGCUCUCCU
This 214-nucleotide unclassified non-coding RNA is filed under the name Hevea brasiliensis (rubber tree). Lineage: Eukaryota; Viridiplantae; Streptophyta; Magnoliopsida; Malpighiales; Euphorbiaceae. The record is from RNAcentral.